This 222-nucleotide long non-coding RNA is filed under the name Malus domestica (apple). RNAcentral's name for it is "long non-coding RNA (MDOM_LNC020790)". Lineage: Eukaryota; Viridiplantae; Streptophyta; Magnoliopsida; Rosales; Rosaceae. The record is from RNAcentral.
CAAAAAUGUCAAGAACAAUGAAGAACACUCAUGAAAAACUCAAAAAUUUCCAUGAACAUUUUUCACCCAAAAAACAUCCCAAAACCACUCAAACUUUAGGGAAAUAACAUAUAACCAAACUAGGGUACAUAAGUGUUCCAAAAAACACUUUAAAACACUUUUAACAAGUCAAACAAGAACCCAAAAAUCCACCCUUUGGAUUUGGCCGAAUUUUCCCAAAAG